CGUGUAGGCUGCACGGUAAGUGAGAUGUGAAAUCCCUCGGCUCACCCGAGGAAGUGCAUCUCAAACUGCCGCGCUUGAGUACGGGAGAGGUUGUGGGAAUUCCUGGUGUAGCGGUGAAAUGCGUAGAUAUCAGGAGGAACACCGGUGGCGAAGGCGCACAACUGGCCCGAUACUGACGCUGAGGCGCGAAAGCUAGGGUAGCAAACAGGAUUAGAUACCCUGGUAGUCC
This 229-nucleotide ribosomal RNA is filed under the name uncultured bacterium. Its description in RNAcentral is "partial 16S ribosomal RNA". It matches the Rfam family "Bacterial small subunit ribosomal RNA", at positions 568 to 796 of the family's 1533-position model. The record is from RNAcentral.